Molecule: ribosomal RNA, 429 nt
Filed under: Speleomantes genei (Sardinian cave salamander)
Lineage: Eukaryota; Metazoa; Chordata; Amphibia; Caudata; Plethodontidae
Description: Hydromantes genei (Sardinian cave salamander) partial 16S ribosomal RNA
Rfam family: Bacterial large subunit ribosomal RNA
Source: RNAcentral
UGAAUGGCAAAACGAAAGCUCAACUGUCUCCUUAGAUUAAUCAAUGAAAUUGAUCUUUCCGUGCAGAAGCGGAAAUAUUUUUAUAAGACAAAAAGACCCUAUGGAGCUUCAAAUUUAAAUUACUUAUACUCCCUUAAAAAUAUAAUAAAUAAUUUAACAUAAAAUUUUAGGUUGGGGCGACCGCGGAGUAAACUACAACCUCCAAGAUUAAUUAAGAAAGACAUUUCAAAAUGAUAAAAUAACUAACAUACUUGAUCCAAUAUUUGAUCAACGAACCAAGUUACCCUAGGGAUAACAGCGCAAUCCCCUUAAAGAGUUCAUAUCGACAAGGGGGUUUACGACCUCGAUGUUGGAUCAGGGCCCCCAAAUGGUGCAGCAACUAUUAAAGGUUCGUUUGUUCAACGAUUAAAGCCCUACGUGAUCUGAGUU